GAUCCUGGCUCAGGAUAAACGCUGGCGGCGCACAUAAGACAUGCAAGUCGAACGGAAGUCGUUGUAAUGAAAUGGAAAUGGACAGAGAACUUGUUCGAAGAAAAUUGAAGUAGACUUACAACAAUGGCUUUAGUGGCGGACUGGUGAGUAACGCGUAAGGAACCUGCCUUUUAGAGGGGAAUAACAAUGAGAAAUCAUUGCUAAUACCGCAUAUGCCGAGAGAAUCACAUGGUACAAUCGGGAAAGG
Molecule: ribosomal RNA, 247 nt
Filed under: uncultured bacterium
Lineage: Bacteria
Description: partial 16S ribosomal RNA
Rfam family: Bacterial small subunit ribosomal RNA
Source: RNAcentral